This is a long non-coding RNA of Etheostoma spectabile (orangethroat darter), 164 nucleotides long. RefSeq lists it as uncharacterized. The record is from RefSeq and is a predicted model, not a curated record. The transcript has 3 exons. Lineage: Eukaryota; Metazoa; Chordata; Actinopteri; Perciformes; Percidae.
CAAUUUUAAAACGCAUCUUUGCUGAGAUGGAGCAGGAUUUGCUGAGGGAGCAUCGGCGUCAGGCUGCCCGCAGGAGGAGGAGGUUGGUGUGUCGCCACCUCUGCCGUCAAAGACGCGGGAUGGUAAGUAGCCUAAUGUUAACACAGGAGCAAAGGGUGAAUAAG